GAAUUUUGGACAAUGGGCGAGAGCCUGAUCCAGCGACGCCGCGUGUGUGAAGAAGGCCUGCGGGUUGUAAAGCACUUUCGAUGGGAACGAAAUGUGCCGGGCUAAUACCCCGGCAAGCUGACGUUCCUCCAUGAAGAAGCACCGGCUAACUCUCUCCCAGCCGCCGCGGUAAUACAGAGGGUGCGAGCGUUAAUCGGAAUUACUGGGCGUAAAGCGCACGUAGGUGGCGACGUAAGUCGGGUGUGAAAGCCCCGGGCUCAACCUGGGAAUUGCAUUCGAGACUGCAUUGCUGGAGUACGGAAGAGGAGGGCGGAAUUCCCGGUGUAGCGGUGAAAUGCGUAGAUAUCGGGAGGAACAUCAGUGGCGAAGGCGGCCCUCUGGUCUAGUACUGACACUCAAGUGCGAAAGCGUGGGGAGCAAACAGG
RNAcentral lists this ribosomal RNA (425 nucleotides) under uncultured bacterium. Its description in RNAcentral is "bacterial SSU rRNA". It matches the Rfam family "Bacterial small subunit ribosomal RNA", at positions 359 to 776 of the family's 1533-position model. The record is from RNAcentral.